GACACAUGCGCACCCGACGCAGCCCAGGCACAUCUGCAGACUGACGUCAGUGUGCUCUGCCUCCGAGGAAAAGCUGCCAAAAUUUUCUCCUGCUGCAAUUCAAGUUGGCUGGGGGCCGGUAGUGAGAUCUAGGGCUACUUCAACAAAACUUUGCUGCCCUUCCUGCUCCUCUUGUCUUCUUUUCUCCUGAUACCUUUUGAUGCUCUGCACAUGUUAUUUGCAUAGCAAAGGCACUAAGCUUUCCAGGAAGAGAGGGCACCACUUCCACCCCCAAUAAGUCUUUUUUCCCGUCUUUUCUUUCUUUUCCUUUCCUUUUUUGGGGGGUGGGGAGGGAGAGAAAGGGGGUUUGCAAAGGCAGCAUCUCAGAGUGAUAGCCUAGAUGUAUUGAAGGCAUCUCUUAUUCUGCCAAAUCGGAAAGUCAGUUCUCUAAAGCCCGGGUUAGCCAGACCAUAGGGUUUUAUUCUGGCUGCAGAAUAACUGGCUGGUGUGGCUUUGCAAAGGGGGGCAAAAAAUAAAAAAAUUAAAAAAAUUAAAAAAAGUUAGAGAGGAGAGGGAGUACGUGAGUCGUCCAGUGCAAUCUCUAUUGUCUGAAACUUACUUUUUAUCAGAAUUUGAAGAUGAAAACGGUUAAAAAAUGGCCAUACUUUAGUAACUAAUCAGCCUAAUGCUUUGCUUAUGAAAACUUUUACCAUCAUUAUUUUUUCAUUUUGGAUUGAGAAAAUGAAUCCAGAUAUAGAAGAAAGUGCAGGAUGUUGGAUAAAAGUGGCUCUUAAACAGUGGAACAUCCAAUAACUAAUUUGCAAGAAGUUUUAAAGAAAUAAAAUUGUUAUGCUUCGAUUUUGGUAUGGUAUUGACUCUUUAGCACAUAGGUAGCCCUCAAAAAAAUCAUCCAGUUUUCUAAAUUAUGGAAAUUUUGUGGAAGACGUUGACCUGGAUUUUGAGCCUCAUCAUGGCUUCAUCGGAAUUUCAUAGUGACCACAGGCUUUCAUACAGUUCUCAAGAGGAAUUCCUGACUUAUCUUGAACACUACCAGCUAACUAUUCCAAUAAGGGUUGAUCAAAAUGGAGCAUUUCUCAGCUUUACUGUGAAAAAUGAUAAACACUCAAGGAGAAGACGGAGUAUGGACCCUAUUGAUCCACAGCAGGCAGUAUCUAAGUUAUUUUUUAAACUUUCAGCCUAUGGCAAGCACUUUCAUCUAAACUUGACUCUCAACACAGAUUUUGUGUCCAAACAUUUUACAGUAGAAUAUUGGGGGAAAGAUGGACCCCAGUGGAAACAUGAUUUUUUAGACAACUGUCAUUACACAGGAUAUUUGCAAGAUCAACGUAGCACAACUAAAGUGGCUUUAAGCAACUGUGUUGGGUUGCAUGGUGUUAUUGCUACAGAAGAUGAAGAAUAUUUUAUUGAACCUUUAAAGAAUACCACAGAGGAUUCCAAGCAUUUUAGUUAUGAAAAUGGCCACCCUCAUGUUAUUUACAAAAAGUCUGCCCUUCAACAACGACAUCUGUAUGAUCACUCUCAUUGUGGGGUUUCGGAUUUCACAAGAAGUGGCAAACCUUGGUGGCUGAAUGACACAUCCACUGUUUCCUAUUCACUACCAAUUAACAACACACAUAUCCACCACAGACAGAAGAGAUCAGUGAGCAUUGAACGGUUUGUGGAGACAUUGGUAGUGGCAGACAAAAUGAUGGUGGGCUACCAUGGCCGCAAAGACAUUGAACAUUACAUUUUGAGUGUGAUGAAUAUUGUUGCCAAACUUUACCGUGAUUCCAGCCUAGGAAACGUUGUGAAUAUUAUAGUGGCCCGCUUAAUUGUUCUCACAGAAGAUCAGCCAAACUUGGAGAUAAACCACCAUGCAGACAAGUCCCUCGAUAGCUUCUGUAAAUGGCAGAAAUCCAUUCUCUCCCACCAAAGUGAUGGAAACACCAUUCCAGAAAAUGGGAUUGCCCACCACGAUAAUGCAGUUCUUAUUACUAGAUAUGAUAUCUGCACUUAUAAAAAUAAGCCCUGUGGAACACUGGGCUUGGCCUCUGUGGCUGGAAUGUGUGAGCCUGAAAGGAGCUGCAGCAUUAAUGAAGACAUUGGCCUGGGUUCAGCUUUUACCAUUGCACAUGAGAUUGGUCACAAUUUUGGUAUGAACCAUGAUGGAAUUGGAAAUUCUUGUGGGACGAAAGGUCAUGAAGCAGCAAAACUUAUGGCAGCUCACAUUACUGCGAAUACCAAUCCUUUUUCCUGGUCUGCGUGCAGUCGAGACUACAUCACCAGCUUUCUAGAUUCAGGCCGUGGUACUUGCCUUGAUAAUGAGCCUCCCAAGCGUGACUUUCUUUAUCCAGCUGUGGCCCCAGGUCAGGUGUAUGAUGCUGAUGAGCAAUGUCGUUUCCAGUAUGGAGCAACCUCCCGCCAAUGUAAAUAUGGGGAAGUGUGUAGAGAGCUCUGGUGUCUCAGCAAAAGCAACCGCUGUGUCACCAACAGUAUUCCAGCAGCUGAGGGGACACUGUGUCAAACUGGGAAUAUUGAAAAAGGGUGGUGUUAUCAGGGAGAUUGUGUUCCUUUUGGCACUUGGCCCCAGAGCAUAGAUGGGGGCUGGGGUCCCUGGUCACUAUGGGGAGAGUGCAGCAGGACCUGCGGGGGAGGCGUCUCCUCAUCCCUAAGACACUGUGACAGUCCAGCACCUUCAGGAGGUGGAAAAUAUUGCCUUGGGGAAAGGAAACGGUAUCGCUCCUGUAACACAGAUCCAUGCCCUUUGGGUUCCCGAGAUUUUCGAGAGAAACAGUGUGCAGACUUUGACAAUAUGCCUUUCCGAGGAAAGUAUUAUAACUGGAAACCCUAUACUGGAGGUGGGGUAAAACCUUGUGCAUUAAACUGCUUGGCUGAAGGUUAUAAUUUCUACACUGAACGUGCUCCUGCGGUGAUCGAUGGGACCCAGUGCAAUGCGGAUUCACUGGAUAUCUGCAUCAAUGGAGAAUGCAAGCACGUAGGCUGUGAUAAUAUUUUGGGAUCUGAUGCUAGGGAAGAUAGAUGUCGAGUCUGUGGAGGGGACGGAAGCACAUGUGAUGCCAUUGAAGGGUUCUUCAAUGAUUCACUGCCCAGGGGAGGCUACAUGGAAGUGGUGCAGAUACCAAGAGGCUCUGUUCACAUUGAAGUCAGAGAAGUUGCCAUGUCAAAGAACUAUAUUGCUUUAAAAUCUGAAGGAGAUGAUUACUAUAUUAAUGGUGCCUGGACUAUUGACUGGCCUAGGAAAUUUGAUGUCGCUGGGACAGCUUUUCAUUACAAGAGACCAACUGAUGAACCAGAAUCCUUGGAAGCUCUAGGUCCUACCUCAGAAAAUCUCAUCGUCAUGGUUCUGCUUCAAGAACAGAAUUUGGGAAUUAGGUAUAAGUUCAAUGUUCCCAUCACUCGAACUGGCAGUGGAGAUAAUGAAGUUGGCUUUACAUGGAAUCAUCAGCCUUGGUCAGAAUGCUCAGCUACUUGUGCUGGAGUGGCCACCAAUGCAAUUCUUUACCUCUGGCUGGGAGAGCAGGACAGUUGGCUUCCUUCAAAGCCAACACCCUUGCUGCUGCAUGGACUGGUGUCCAAAGACAGGAGGUGGUCUGUAAAAGGUUGGAUGACAACUCCAUUGUCCAGAACAAUUACUGUGACCCUGACAGUAAGCCACCUGAAAAUCAAAGAGCCUGCAACACUGAGCCCUGCCCACCUGAGUGGUUCAUUGGGGAUUGGUUGGAGUGCAGCAAGACUUGUGAUGGUGGGAUGCGCACAAGGGCAGUGCUCUGCAUCAGGAAGAUCGGACCUUCUGAGGAGGAGACGCUGGACUACAGUGGUUGUUUAACACACCGGCCUGUCGAAAAAGAGCCCUGCAACAACCAGUCAUGUCCACCACAGUGGGUGGCUUUGGACUGGUCUGAGUGUACUCCAAAAUGUGGUCCAGGAUUCAAGCAUCGGAUUGUUCUGUGCAAGAGCAGUGACCUUUCUAAGACAUUCCCAGCUGCACAAUGUCCAGAGGAAAGCAAACCUCCUGUCCGCAUCCGCUGCAGUUUGGGCCGCUGCCCUCCUCCUCGCUGGGUCACAGGAGACUGGGGCCAGUGUUCUGCUCAGUGUGGCCUUGGACAGCAGAUGAGAACUGUGCAGUGUCUCUCCUACACCGGACAGGCAUCUAGUGACUGUCCAGAAACUGUUCGGCCUCCAUCAAUGCAGCAGUGUGAAAGCAAAUGUGACAGUACCCCCAUUUCUAAUACUGAAGAGUGCAAAGAUGUGAAUAAAGUGGCUUAUUGCCCACUGGUGCUGAAGUUCAAGUUCUGCAGUCGAGCAUACUUCAGACAGAUGUGUUGUAAGACCUGCCAAGGACACUGACCCACAGAAAGCCAGAGAGAGUGCCUUGUCAUUUCAUCAUGGAAAUGCAUCCAUCAAAGAGAGCCACCCAGAGGAAGAGGAUUGAUGUCCUUGCAAAUGCAUUACCCUGUGGAAAACGUAACCACUGGUCAGCCCUAGCUGACAAAAUUUCAAUAUUAUUUUAACUUCUGUGAAGUGGGAUUUAUUGAUCCAAAGUGCUGGACACGGUAUUAGGAGGGAAUGCCAGAUUGGAGAGAUCCAAACAACACAGGGAGACUUGCUUACUGUGGAGCGUUUGUGUUCUUUCGAGUAAAUCCAAUAGCCUGUUUACCUCCUUGGACCAUUAAGAUAAUUUUUAUUAUGGACUUAGCAAUGACACUGAAUCCAUUUGUAUUUAAAACUGUUUAAAAUGUAGCUGUUAUGACUUGGUCAACUAUGGAAGUGAAGAAGGUUCAGAAUUCUUAAGUCAUAGCUUAAAAAUAUUUACUGUACUUUAUCUCACUACAACAGCACCACAAUUUAAAUUAUAAAACGGGCUUUGAACUAUAAUUUAAGGAGCAAUUAUAAAUCAAAAGUAAUGAAAGUUUGUAUUAUUUUUCUUCAUUCCACUUAAUUUCCUUAGGAAUAAUCCCCUGGUUCUGAACACUGCUGUGAGCCAUAUAUAAAACUAUAUUAAACUGAACAAUAAUGAGGGGCAUAGUUUAAAGCAAUGCAUCAGUUACUGCAGCUGUGCAAGUCUAUAAACUCAGUGCUGAAAGACUGGCCAACUUGCCAUUGUGCAAGUAAAGCUGAGAUUUCCAUUAAAACUUUAAGAGAAAAACAUUUCAAUUUCAUGCAGAAACCAGACCUGGGGUAUGGUACAGACCAAAGGACCAGGCCCUUUGCUGCCACCACACAGGAUGCCUUAGUUCUUAUUUGAGUCCCCCCAACUCACUUGUGUUUACAUCCUCUCCAGCCACAGCACGGCUUCUGCCCUUUGGAUUGCUGCACGUGUGUUGAGCUUACUGAGAUGAUACCAUGCAAAAGAUAGACUGGCUCGGUAACCAGGCAGACCCUUUUGCAGUUUGUUGACAAUUACGAUGAGUUCCAGAUGUCCCUUCUUUGAUAUGGUAGAAGGACAUUUAUUUAUAUGAGAGCAAAUGUGUGUGUGUGUUUGCGGGCGCUUUUAAGUGUGUGGAUAGAUGAGUGUGCUUGCACAUAAUGUGCUAUUUCUGUGAGUUUUAAAGUAGGCAAGGGAUAAUAACCAAAGAAGAAAAUUUCAUGAAGACUAGACAUCAUAAAGCAUAAUUUUAAUAGUCACUCAACCAAGUAUUUUUUAUUUUUUAUGGAUACUCUGAAUGGCAAUUAAAUGUGAAACCCAGUUUCUUGGGCAAGUCAAAUUCUGGAAUCACAUCCACCUAAAUUAAAAUGACUAGCUCGUAUUUUCCCCAUCUUCAAGUUUCACAUCCUGCUCAUCAAAAGACUCGACAGCAAGACUUAGAAUGAAAAAGGGUACUUGUUUAUAUUAAUAUUUUUUACUUGAACACGUGUAGCUUGCAGCAGGUUCUUGAUGAAUGUGCUUUGUGUCCAAAAUGCCUCCCCAUUGUACACAGGUGUACACCAUGCAUGCACCAACACCUAAAACUCAAAACUAAAUGGCUAUUUUGUAAGGUUAAUACUUUCAGUUAAACAGCAUGUUUGACUUGAUUCCAUCAUGGUGCUCUUAAAUUACAUGUCAGUGCAUCACAUAUACCAUGAUCUAAUGCAGAUGACUAGCCUUUUUCCAAAAGGAAGACAGACCCUCAGACACCAAAAGCCAAUCUAAACUCCCAGGUUUGCUGUGGACAAUCAGCAUGGAAUGUUUUCUGCACUCUCAGUCAUGACCAUCUGUAUCUUGUUACCUGCUUUCUCUCUCAACACCACAGUUCUCAACCCUGAGCCUUCCAGAGAGAGCUAUUGAUGAUACAAGAGGAAUCACCAGGGCCCGGAUCUAAGAUGCCCUUAGAAGACCAGCCCAAGUGCCAUCAUAGCCAUUCAGUGAAGGGCAAACAGCCCAUGGGUAGUAUGGCCCGAGCACUGAAUUCCCUUGCGCCUUUUCAAAGAACAGUUAACUUGGUGCUAAUGUGCCCUGGUGAAAUAAAUAAAAGAUGGGCGGUUUCUGUGGCAUUUUAGGCAUAGGUUUGCAAUCCAGAUCUGAUUUUCUCCAACAUAAAUAUCAGCUCAUGUUCUUAUUUCAAAAAGAUUUCUUAUUACCGACUAAAAGCUAUUUUUUACCUCACCUGGAAACUACCAUUGUGAGGGCCAUCCCCCAGGCACUGCACAGCACCUUAGCUGAUGCUGGAAGAGGAGGGCAGUCAGUGUCACUUCCGGGAUGUGCCCCAGCACUGAGAACAAAAUGCAGGCAUCCCCCGGGGCAGCAUCAGAGUGCCUUUCUAGAGGGAGCCACGCACAGAAUGUAACAGGAUGAAACAGUUUCAAGUAAGCCUUGAAUUGAAACCUGAGUAGGUUAAAACAAUUCUAUUUCAUAGCACAUCACAAUACUGCUGCUACUCUGUAGCCACCCCCAUGGCUACAUGAUGCCCUAUUCCUAAAUAAUAACAAUGGCAUUGUCAGUGGAGGCUGGGCCACCAUGGCAGACCUUCCAAAAGUAGUGAGCUACAUAGACUACUUAGGGAACCCCAGGGAAACUGGUACCCUAUACCUGGGAGCAGUAUCUGCCACUGGGAUAAAGUCCUACUAAAAAAGGAACGGUAAAUGUACCCUAAUGAUUAAACCCUGUGAGAUACAUAUGAUUUCCAAAUAGUCCAUUUCAUUAGGAACUUUUUUGUUUGAAUGAAUGUCACAUAGGUAUCCUCAGUAACACAGAACGAAAUUACCUUUGUAUUAUUGUGAUUAGUUGUUGCUUAUUAUUUUAUACUCAGUAAUAAUGUGGUACACUGUUAAUUUUUUUGCUUUUGUAAAUUAUAUUCUAAUUUAUUGCCAUGUUUCCUAACACUUGUCCUACAUUCAUUCUCCUGCUUGUAAUGAAAAUGAAAAAAUCAUUGUAACACUUGAUGGAGUGAAAUUCCACGCCAGGCACAGAAUUUUUUUGACAUAGAUAAUUUAGUAAAAUAAAAAUUCAGCUUAUAAUAAUGA
This is an RNA transcript of Pan troglodytes (chimpanzee), 7440 nucleotides long. It is a transcript of the gene named ADAM metallopeptidase with thrombospondin type 1 motif 6, with no coding region annotated. The transcript has 26 exons. The record is from RefSeq and is a predicted model, not a curated record. Lineage: Eukaryota; Metazoa; Chordata; Mammalia; Primates; Hominidae.